GUGGUUAUUACUGUUCUUCUCGUGACAGGACUCCUCAUAGUAGCAUGGAAAAAAGGGUGGCUCCAAAGAUUAAUACAGUUAAUACAAGGACUAAGAGGUGAUGGUAACCAGGGGAGAGGAGAAGGA
This is a long non-coding RNA of Megalops cyprinoides (Indo-Pacific tarpon), 126 nucleotides long. RefSeq lists it as uncharacterized. Lineage: Eukaryota; Metazoa; Chordata; Actinopteri; Elopiformes; Megalopidae. The record is from RefSeq and is a predicted model, not a curated record. The transcript has 3 exons.